GGGGGCAACCCUGGUGGCGAGUGGCGAACGGGUGAGUAAUACAUCGGAACAUGUCCUGAAGUGGGGGAUAACGCAUCGAAAGAUGUGCUAAUACCGCAUAUUCUCUGAGGAGGAAAGUAGGGGAUCGCAAGACCUUACGCUUUUGGAGUGGCCGAUGUCUGAUUAGCUAGUUGGUAAGGUAAAGGCUUACCAAGGCGACGAUCAGUAGUUGGUCUGAGAGGACGACCAGCCACACUGGGACUGAGACACGGCCCAGACUCCUACGGGAGGCAGCAGUGGGGAAUUUUGGACAAUGGGCGAAAGCCUGAUCCAGCAAUGCCGCGUGAGUGAAGAAGGCCUUCGGGUUGUAAAGCUCUUUCAGUUGAGAAGAAUGUUGCGACUAAUAAUCGCAAUUCAUGACGGUAUCAACAGAAGAAGCACCGGCUAACUACGUGCCAGCAGCCGCGGUAAUACGUAGGGUGCAAGCGUUAAUCGGAAUUACUGGGCGUAAAGGGUGCGCAGGCGGUUCUGUAAGUCAGAUGUGAAAUCCCCGGGCUUAACCUGGGAAUUGCGUUUGAAACUGCAGGACUAGAGUGUGGCAGAGGGGGGUGGAAUUCCAAGUGUAGCAGUGAAAUGCGUAGAGAUAUGGAGGAACAUCGAUGGCGAAGGCAGCCCCCUGGGUUAACACUGACGCUCAUACACGAAAGCGUGGGUAGCAAACAGGAUUAGAUACCCUGGUAGUCCACGCCCUAAACUAUGUCAACUAGUUGUCGGGUCUUAAUAGGCUUGGUAACGUAGCUGACGCGUGAAGUUGACCGCCUGGGGAGUACGGUCGCAAGAUUAAAACUCAAAGGAAUUGACGGGGACCCGCACAAGCGGUGGAUUAUGUGGAUUAAUUCGAUGCAACGCGAAAAACCUUACCUACCCUUGACAUGCCAGGAACUUGCCAGAGAUGGCUUGGUGCUCGAAAGAGAACCUGGACACAGGUGCUGCAUGGCUGUCGUCAGCUCGUGUCGUGAGAUGUUGGGUUAAGUCCCGCAACGAGCGCAACCCUUGUCAUUAAUUGCCAUCAUUUAGUUGGGCACUUUAAUGAGACUGCCGGUGACAAACCGGAGGAAGGUGGGGAUGACGUCAAGUCCUCAUGGCCCUUAUGGGUAGGGCUUCACACGUAAUACAAUGGCGCGUACAGAGGGUUGCCAACCCGCGAGGGGGAGCUAAUCUCAGAAAGCGCGUCGUAGUCCGGAUCGGAGUCUGCAACUCGACUCCGUGAAGUCAGAAUCGCUAGUAAUCGCUGAUCAGCAUGUCGCGGUGAAUACGUUCCCGGGUCUUGUACACACCGCCCGUCAC
RNAcentral lists this ribosomal RNA (1326 nucleotides) under metagenome. RNAcentral describes it as "bacterial SSU rRNA". It matches the Rfam family "Bacterial small subunit ribosomal RNA", at positions 75 to 1400 of the family's 1533-position model. The record is from RNAcentral.